Acinonyx jubatus (cheetah) is the source of this 1382-nucleotide long non-coding RNA. RefSeq lists it as uncharacterized. The transcript is spliced from 2 exons. The record is from RefSeq and is a predicted model, not a curated record. Lineage: Eukaryota; Metazoa; Chordata; Mammalia; Carnivora; Felidae.
CAUUACACUCGGAGAGGAAGAGAAGGCAGCGGACAGGCGGGGCAAGGACAGACAGCAUCCCAGGGGAGCAGACAUCAGGCCCCUCCCUUCUUCACAGCCGCAAGCGCCACUCCAGCCAGGCAGGACCCUGAGCUGCCUCCCAGGCCCCAGGCUCAGCCCUCCAGGGACCAGUCCCCAAAGGCUCUCAACGCUAGGGUCAGGUUGGGCCAGUGUUCCCUAAAACCAGCACGUGCUCAGGUCCCCCUGGAGCUGUAGAGAUGAUACCCUGGGCCCCAGACUGUGCCGGGAAAGACUCACUUGGGCUUGUGGGGGCUGAAGACUCUGUCUCCAAGCAAAAUCCCAGGACCUCUGGAGUCCAGGGUCCCCAGUUUUCAUUCCAGAAGCGCCCCACUCCCCAGAGCUGCCACCACUCCCCCUUCCAAAUCUCACCACAAAGGCCUCCGGAUUGAGCCCACCUCCCUCAGGCCUAGCCUAACUCUCCAGAGCCUGGCUGAGCUCCAUGAUGCCCUUGGGGCCUGGCUCACACCCCUGCCUGCAUCCCAGCUCUCAAGGGUAAUUGUCAAGGCUGGCUCUUCCCUUGAUCCUUAGAAAGGCUAAGUAUCAAGGAGUCAAUACAGCAGCCAAAGCCCGAAAGAUCCUUCACCCAGCCAGGCAAGGGCCUGCAGGGAAGACCGGGGACACAGAAGGACCUGAGAGCUGCAAACACCAGCCAUCCUGGGGUGGCUCCUGCAGAGACCCAGUUGGUGGCUCAGAGUCCCAGCCAAGAAAGAGCUCAUGGUAUUCCCAAGGCGGGGUAGCCAGUCCCAGGAACUCUGGGCCCUGUGAGCCAUCUCCUCCCCUUUGAUCUUCAGACAGUCAAAGAAGACACCAUUCAGAUCCAACCCCAGGCAGGCUUGACCUAGACAGUGGGCCCACCUCCCAGCCACCGCCCUCUGCCUUUGUGACGUCAGAGCCUGGUGGGGCCAAAGCGCAGCAGGGCAGUGCGUGGACCCUUCUAGAGUCUGCCCAAGCUGCACCCCUAAGCAUCCACCAGCAAGAGCUUCAGGCUAGUAGAAGACUGCAGGACCCCUCAACUCUGCAUCUCUGAUAGCGCCAGAAAUCGUAAGAUCACGCUUUCCUCCGGCCGAGCCCCGGCUUCAACUCAAGCCCCCUUGCCAGAUCAUGCCGAAGUCGGGCCUCCUGCCCUGCAGUGAGAGCUUCUGUCUGUCCUUAAGGCCCUCCUCCCGGCCUGCUUCCACAGGCUUCCAGGCAGAAUUGGGGCCUCAUCUUUGGUGUUGGACGGACAGAGAUCCAAGCCUGGCUCUCCACUGGGGCUACGUGCCCCCAAACAUUACUCUGCCACCCUGAGCUUCCAUUCCCUCGGGUAAAACAGGACACGGUGA